Molecule: unclassified non-coding RNA, 1108 nt
Filed under: Hevea brasiliensis (rubber tree)
Lineage: Eukaryota; Viridiplantae; Streptophyta; Magnoliopsida; Malpighiales; Euphorbiaceae
Source: RNAcentral
GGUCUUGAGAAAAAUACUCUUGAUGCCUUUAAGAAGUUUAUUCAUAGUCAAAUAGAUGAGGUGUUAAUACCUUCUGAAGCUCCUAAAUCUAGCAGUGUUAAGAAAAGCCCUGAAAACAAAAGUAAAACAGCAAAGAAGAGUGGUGAAAACUCCAAUUCUAGCAGCAAACGUAAACGUAUAGCAGAAAAAGUAAAAUCAGGAAAGAAUUCUGCUGCAAAAGAAACAGUUGAGAAAUCUGAAGGACUGAAGAAACGGAAAAAACCUAAUUCAGAAGAUAAUGUCCCUGCAGAAAAUCAGAAAGAAGUUUCUAAGAAUCUGUCAGAUGAAGAUAGUGACGGAGACACUGAUAAGAGUGAUUCUGAAGAUGGUCAAUCUGGAUCGUCGGCUGAAAUAAUAUCUGACAAGGAGAAAGUUGUAAAGGGAGCAUCAGCUAAUACUGGAUACGGAAAACGUGUGGAACAUCUGAAAUCAAUCUUCAAAGCUUGUGGGAUGAGUGUUGCUCCUUUUCUUUAUAAGAGAGCCAAACAGGUAUCUGACGACAAACGUGAAGGCUUCCUGAUAAAGGAGUUAGAAAAGAUGCUUUCUGCAGAAGGACUAUCAUCGAACCCCACCGAAAAAGAAAUCAAAGAAGUCAAAAAGAGAAAGCAAACAGCAAAAGAAUUGGAAGGUAUUGACUUAAGCAACAUUGUUUCAAAUACACGAAGGAGAUCAACGACCAGCUUUGUGGAUCCUCCAAGACCCAAGUCACCACCUAAAAAUGAUAAGAAUGAUGACAAGGAUGGUGAUAGCGAUGCCGAUGAUGGAAGUGAUGAUGACAAAGACGAUGAUGACGAUGAAGAUGAUGAGAGCAGUCAGAGUGAUGAGGAGUUCAAUGGAGAUGAUGAUGAGGACAGUGAAUGAAGUUUUCUGGUGACUGAAGAUUAUAAUUUACAGAUCAGGGACGGUCUUUCCAAUGUAUCAAUAGUUUCAGUUUCUCAACUUAGAUUUGGGAGCUGAUGUUUAAUGUAUUUUAGAAGUAUAUUUACAAAGAGUUGUGAUAUUUAGCUUUGUUUAGAAGUAUUGAACUUAGCCAGUCAUGGAUAUUAGAUACCAUAUUUGUUAGUUAUCG